Bubalus bubalis (water buffalo) is the source of this 508-nucleotide long non-coding RNA. RefSeq lists it as uncharacterized. NCBI's taxonomy places the organism in Eukaryota, Metazoa, Chordata, Mammalia, Artiodactyla, Bovidae. The transcript is spliced from 3 exons. The record is from RefSeq and is a predicted model, not a curated record.
GACUGGGAAAGCUGGAUCUCUGGGAAUCGGUUGGGGUCUGAACGAUGAAGAAUUUGAGAAGUAGAAGAAUCAGCUUUUGAAAGGAAAUGUCAGUAACUUCUGGGGAAAAACAAGGAGAAGGGAGUCUCUCUCCCUUGGUGACUUUGAAGAAGCAAGCUGCCAUGUCAUGAGCUGUCCCCAGGAAAGGGCCACAGCAAAGAACUGAGGCAGACAUCCAGGAGCAGCUGAAGCCAUCAGUCAGUCAGAAAAGACCUGAAUCCUGCUGACAACCAUGUGGAUCCUUUCCCAGUCAAGUUUUCAGAUAAAAUCCUACUCCUGGCUGACACCUUGACUGCAGUCUUGCAGAGGACCCAGUUAAGCUGUGCUAGAACUCCUGAGCUACAGAAACUGAACUAUGUCAUACGCAGUUUAUGAACUGGGACGAGUAACAGACCAGCAAAAACUGCUCCACCCAAGUUACUUAUGAAGACUUUCAGCUCUGGAUCUUGGGUUGGUCAAAUGGAAGGAA